UCCAUCUGAUGAGUUAAGCCUUUUUCAACUGAUUUUUAUAGUUCGUUCUUAUGUUGUACUGUUAUACCACUGUCCCAGGUUAGGGGAAGGGUUGGGAUCCCGCUAACAUGUUUAACCCCGCCACAUUAUUUAUGUAUGUGCCUGUCCCAAGUCGGGAGCCUGUAAUUCAGUGGUUGUCGUUUGUUUAUGUGUUACAUACUUUUCUUUCAUUUUUAGCUCACCUGUCCCGAAGGGACAAGUGAGCUUAUGCCAUCACUUGGCGUCCGUCGUCGUCCGUCGUCUGUCGUCGUAAACUAUUUCAAGAAUCUUCUCCUCUGAAACUACUGGGCCAAAUACUUUCAAACUUUAACUGAAUGUUCCUUAGGGUAUCUAAUUUAUAAAUUGUAUCCGAAGUUUUGAUCUAUCAACAAACAUGGUCGCCAUUGCUAAAAAUAGAACAUAGGGGUCAAAUGCAGUUUUUGGCUUAUAACUCAAAAACCAAAGCAUUUAGAGCAAAUCUGACAUGGGGUAAAAUUGUUUAUCAGGUCAAGAUCUAUCUGCCCUGAAAUUUUCAGAUGAAUCAGACAACCUGUUGUUGGGUU
This 581-nucleotide long non-coding RNA is filed under the name Mytilus galloprovincialis (Mediterranean mussel). The record is from RNAcentral. Lineage: Eukaryota; Metazoa; Mollusca; Bivalvia; Mytilida; Mytilidae.